GGGUCAGUAGGUUGGUCGUGCCACUGGUAUGUACUGGUCUCACUGAUUCCUCCUUCCUGAUGAACCGUAAUGCCAUUAAUUUGGUGUUGCGGGGAAACUGGACUGUUACUUUGAAAAAAUUAGAGUGUUUAAAGCAGGCUAACGCUUGAAUACAUUAGCAUGGAAUAAUGAAAUAGGACGUUCGAUCCUAUUUUGUUGGUUUCUAGGAUUGACGUA
RNAcentral lists this ribosomal RNA (216 nucleotides) under uncultured Glomeromycotina. RNAcentral describes it as "partial small subunit ribosomal RNA". The stretch from base 40 to 216 matches the Rfam family "Eukaryotic small subunit ribosomal RNA", at positions 686 to 864 of the family's 1831-position model. The record is from RNAcentral. Lineage: Eukaryota; Fungi; Glomeromycota.